UGAGGAAUAUUGCGCAAUGGACGAAAGUCUGACGCAGCAACGCCGCGUGAGUGAUGAAGGCCCUCGGGUCGUAAAGCUCUGUCGUGUGGGAAGAUGUGACACGAGUAACGAUCGUGUUGUGACGGUACCACAGAAGGAAGCACCGGCUAACUCCGUGCCAGCAGCCGCGGUAAUACGGAGGGUGCAAGCGUUGUCCGGAAUUAUUGGGCGUAAAGCGCGUGUAGGCGGCUCGUUAUGUCGGAUGUGAAAUCCUGCGGCUCAACUGCAGAACUGCGUUCGAAACUGGCGAGCUUGAGUGCGAGAGGGGGAGGUGGAAUUCCCGGUGUAGAGGUGAAAUUCGUAGAUAUCGGGAAGAAUACCGGUGGCGAAGGCGACCUCCUGGCUCGUAACUGACGCUCAG
This 400-nucleotide ribosomal RNA is filed under the name uncultured bacterium. RNAcentral describes it as "bacterial SSU rRNA". It matches the Rfam family "Bacterial small subunit ribosomal RNA", at positions 355 to 750 of the family's 1533-position model. The record is from RNAcentral.